Molecule: ribosomal RNA, 1513 nt
Filed under: Klebsiella pneumoniae
Lineage: Bacteria; Pseudomonadati; Pseudomonadota; Gammaproteobacteria; Enterobacterales; Enterobacteriaceae
Description: 16S ribosomal RNA
Rfam family: Bacterial small subunit ribosomal RNA
Source: RNAcentral
UCUAGAUUAGAGUUUGAUCCUGGCUCAGAUUGAACGCUGGCGGCAGGCCUAACACAUGCAAGUCGAGCGGUAGCACAGAGAGCUUGCUCUCGGGUGACGAGCGGCGGACGGGUGAGUAAUGUCUGGGAAACUGCCUGAUGGAGGGGGAUAACUACUGGAAACGGUAGCUAAUACCGCAUAACGUCGCAAGACCAAAGUGGGGGACCUUCGGGCCUCAUGCCAUCAGAUGUGCCCAGAUGGGAUUAGCUAGUAGGUGGGGUAACGGCUCACCUAGGCGACGAUCCCUAGCUGGUCUGAGAGGAUGACCAGCCACACUGGAACUGAGACACGGUCCAGACUCCUACGGGAGGCAGCAGUGGGGAAUAUUGCACAAUGGGCGCAAGCCUGAUGCAGCCAUGCCGCGUGUGUGAAGAAGGCCUUCGGGUUGUAAAGCACUUUCAGCGGGGAGGAAGGCGGUGAGGUUAAUAACCUCACCGAUUGACGUUACCCGCAGAAGAAGCACCGGCUAACUCCGUGCCAGCAGCCGCGGUAAUACGGAGGGUGCAAGCGUUAAUCGGAAUUACUGGGCGUAAAGCGCACGCAGGCGGUCUGUCAAGUCGGAUGUGAAAUCCCCGGGCUCAACCUGGGAACUGCAUUCGAAACUGGCAGGCUAGAGUCUUGUAGAGGGGGGUAGAAUUCCAGGUGUAGCGGUGAAAUGCGUAGAGAUCUGGAGGAAUACCGGUGGCGAAGGCGGCCCCCUGGACAAAGACUGACGCUCAGGUGCGAAAGCGUGGGGAGCAUACAGGAUUAGAUACCCUGGUAGUCCACGCUGUAAACGAUGUCGAUUUGGAGGUUGUGCCCUUGAGGCGUGGCUUCCGGAGCUAACGCGUUAAAUCGACCGCCUGGGGAGUACGGCCGCAAGGUUAAAACUCAAAUGAAUUGACGGGGGCCCGCACAAGCGGUGGAGCAUGGUGGUUUAAUUCGAUGCAACGCGAAGAACCUUACCUGGUCUUGACAUCCACAGAACUUUCCAGAGAUGGAUUGGUGCCUUCGGGAACUGUGAGACAGGUGCUGCAUGGCUGUCGUCAGCUCGUGUUGUGAAAUGUUGGGUUAAGUCCCGCAACGAGCGCAACCCUUAUCCUUUGUUGCCAGCGGUUAGGCCGGGAACUCAAAGGAGACUGCCAGUGAUAAACUGGAGGAAGGUGGGGAUGACGUCAAGUCAUCAUGGCCCUUACGACCAGGGCUACACACGUGCUACAAUGGCAUAUACAAAGAGAAGCGACCUCGCGAGAGCAAGCGGACCUCAUAAAGUAUGUCGUAGUCCGGAUUGGAGUCUGCAACUCGACUCCAUGAAGUCGGAAUCGCUAGUAAUCGUAGAUCAGAAUGCUACGGUGAAUACGUUCCCGGGCCUUGUACACACCGCCCGUCACACCAUGGGAGUGGGUUGCAAAAGAAGUAGGUAGCUUAACCUUCGGGAGGGCGCUUACCACUUUGUGAUUCAUGACUGGGGUGAAGUCGUAACAAGGUAGCCGUA